UGCUACCUUUGCACAGUUAGAAUACUGCGGCUAUUUAAAAUUUUCACUGAGCAAAUUAGACCUUUUAUAUUUUAUCAAAAAGACAUGUUUUUGUUAAACAGAAGGGAAGAGCACAGGUCGAAGUUCAGCUCGCCGAUCUCGCGGUUGUCGU
RNAcentral lists this long non-coding RNA (151 nucleotides) under Neodiprion pinetum (white pine sawfly). RNAcentral describes it as "uncharacterized LOC124217901". Lineage: Eukaryota; Metazoa; Arthropoda; Insecta; Hymenoptera; Diprionidae. The record is from RNAcentral.